Molecule: ribosomal RNA, 133 nt
Filed under: Dictyota dichotoma
Lineage: Eukaryota; Phaeophyceae; Dictyotales; Dictyotaceae
Source: RNAcentral
CGAAAUAUAUAGUAUCUAGGUCUUUUACCCGAAUCCAUACCGAACUCGAGUGUCCUUAUCUAGGUAGCCAUAAAUACUGGGUUAAGCCGGGAAUCAUGGUUUUGGGAAUAUAACUCAAUUGGUAGAGUGUAUG